Molecule: long non-coding RNA, 485 nt
Filed under: Ananas comosus (pineapple)
Lineage: Eukaryota; Viridiplantae; Streptophyta; Magnoliopsida; Poales; Bromeliaceae
Description: long non-coding RNA (ACOM_LNC021047)
Source: RNAcentral
CCAUAUAAAUCUUGAGUUUCAAAGUCCAUUUUUACGUCUAUUUUGCGCAAAACGUCUCCAACUCAAUCAAGUAUAAACAUAUACUGUAACCUUACCAAUUUGCUAAGGUUCAGUAUAUCAAAUAUAUUGACUAAAUUGUUAGUGUAAAAAAAACAUUACCUUUUUUUAUUUAUACUUACUUAACUUUUAAUUAUUUUAUUUAUAUUAUUUCACUCAAAUAAUUUUAAAAUUUACUAAAUCUAAUAGUAAUUCGGUUAAUAAUUUAAUUUCUUAAUUUUUACUAAAUACAAUUGUGAUAAUUGAUUAUUAUUAGUUGACCGAGCUAUUAACUUUAAUAUAAUCUUUUUAAUUAAAUAAAAUUUUAUCUAAAAUAAUUAGAAAUUAUGAAAGUAUUUACUAAAUAACAAAAAUUAAAAUAAAUUUAGAGUUGAGAAAGUAUUAUGUUUGCGCCAAGAACUUUUUUAAAAGAUAGGUUGGUCAAUAUA